This 167-nucleotide non-coding RNA is filed under the name bovine gut metagenome. The record is from RNAcentral.
UUUGGUCACCCCUCCGGGGUGUCAAAAGGGAAGCCGGUGCAAGUCCGGCGCAGUCCCGCUGCUGUAAGCUCGAGAGUUGAGGCACAACCUGUUACGUCACUGUGCGGCGCCAUAGCCGUAUGGGAAGACCGCUGCCUCGCGAGCAAGCCAGAAGACCUGCCAAACCG